GCCCAGGUGGUGAAAUUGGUAGACACGCUAGCUUGAGGGGCUAGUGGCCACUUUUUCGGCCGUGGAGGUUCAAGUCCUCUCCUGGGCACCA
Molecule: transfer RNA, 91 nt
Filed under: Candidatus Peregrinibacteria bacterium CG_4_10_14_0_2_um_filter_43_11
Lineage: Bacteria; Candidatus Peregrinibacteriota
Description: tRNA-Leu
Rfam family: tRNA
About the family: Transfer RNA (tRNA) molecules are approximately 80 nucleotides in length. Their secondary structure includes four short double-helical elements and three loops (D, anti-codon, and T loops).
Source: RNAcentral